Phragmites australis (common reed) is the source of this 3203-nucleotide long non-coding RNA. RefSeq lists it as uncharacterized. Lineage: Eukaryota; Viridiplantae; Streptophyta; Magnoliopsida; Poales; Poaceae. The record is from RefSeq and is a predicted model, not a curated record. The transcript has 5 exons.
CAUUUUUUUUUUUGGGGAAAAGGGAAGCUUUAUUGACUUACAUUGUUAUAACAAGAUGAUUACAACCAAUACAAGCCGCUCUUAGUCUCUGUAUACUAAAGAUGCACACAGUCCAAAAUAACAAAAACAAACGGGAAACACCGAGAAAAUGAGGCAACAACUUGGUAGAAACAUGAACGGUCCCUGUAACUAAGGAUUCUGAAUCCGAACCCUAGCCAAGGCUGCUGAAAAACCUGACUGCCUACUCCAGUCUUGUACAUGCUAUAGCAACUAUCUCCCGCGAGUAGAAGAAGCAUAUACCAGGUACAGAGCAAUUACAUAUAUGUAAAAAUAACCUGCAAAGUAGAAGAAGCUUUCUUAUUAUUAAAAAUAAUGUCAUUCUGCAUCAUAUAGACCAGCAUAUGGCUACCACUCUGACCAUAAUAUUAGCUUUUAUGCUUUUACUAAGGUCUCGUAACUAGUUUCCAAACAUAUUGGUAGCAUUUUGUGGUGGGUAAAGGUUUUUAGUCAUCUGGAUCAUGAGCCAGGCGGAAUGAGCAAAACGGCAUUCAAAUAAGAGAUGCCUAAUUAUCUCAUCUUUGUAACAAAAAAAUACUUCUGACUGCCUUGCCAUCUUAUUUUUUUAGUUAUCCUUUGUGAGUAAGUCCAUCUCCAACAGAUACUCUAAAAAUUUAUCCCCUAUAAUACUAUUACAGUAUCCUCUAACACUAUUACAACAUCCUCUAUUUUUUCAUCUCCAGCAGCUACCCUAUUUCCUACCUUCCUUUACUCUCCUCUUCUUUUCGCCCCCAUGGUCAUACUCUAUGAAUAGUGUUGAGGAUCGCUACAGUAGUCCACAAAUUUUGAGCACCCUCCCUCCCGGCCGUAUCCUUGUAGCAGGUGAUACGACAUCUGUUGGAGACCGAUACAGGAGCUAGGAUCGGCAAAAGGACAGCACAGUACUGAGCACAGUGUUGCAAACUCGAUUUUGCAGACGCUGCUGGAGCUGUCCUAAGACUCCCUGCUGAAUAUUCCAUAGGAAGAUCCUAAUUUUUGAAGGUAUUUUCAGCUUCUAGAGGUUUUUAUUAAUUUUUGGAGGAACUACUUGUUUUAAAGCUUGGUAGAGAGAGUUCACUGAGAAUUGUCCAUCUUUGAUCAGAUUCCAGUGGAAUUCGUCCCGCUCGCUUGUGAGGUCAAGGCUAUCUAAUUUCGAUAAAAUCCCUUUGAAUGCUAAAAGGCGAGAGCCAUCUAGAUUUUGGGAAAAAGAGAGAUUUGCUAGGGGUGACUGGAUCACCUUGACCACAAUUUUAUCUAUAUAUCGGGUUAUACUAUAAAGGCCAUGGUAUUGGUCGCACAGAGGAGAGUCUCCCAACCAUGUGUCUUCCGAAAACCUAAUUUGUGAUCCAUCCUUAAUGGCCAAUGUGCCAAAAAGGAACAACUGUCACUUUACUUUCAUAAGUCCAGCCCAAAAUAGGGAAUCUCUCGAUUUUCAUCUAAUUUGGGAUAAGGCCUUAGACCCCAAAUAUUUAUCCCUCAGCAACUCUUGCUAUUUUCCCUCAAGAUAACAGACCCCUAAACUCCCUUGAUCUUUGGGUUGGCAGAUGGUCAUCCAUUUCACAAGGCAGUAUUUUUUUUAUGUCCAUCGGUUUGCUAAUAAAAUCUUGAUCUAAAGUAAUCUAAAUGUUUAACCACUCCCUAAAGGAUUUGGAAAAAGAACAUCAUAUACAUGGGUAAACUGGAGAGGAUCGAAUUAAUAAGGAACAGUACAUCCCUUGACGAUAGGUUUUUACCUAUCCAGUCGGACAACCUCUUCGCGAUCCUCUCCUAUACCCCUUUCCAAUCGCCAUUUUUCAACUUCCUAUAAUGGAUUGGAAGACCUAGGUACCUUAUAGGUAGGUUGCCUAACGCACAUCCAGAAAGCUGGGCAUAUUGCUCUGCUUUGUCUUGUGCCAUCGCAAAACAAAACAAUUCACUCUUGUGAAAGUUGAUUUUGACCCUGGACAAGCAUUCAAAGGCACAAAGUAGGAGUUUCAAAUUCAUUGUUUUUUCUAGGUUAUCUAGGUUAUGAUCCAAAAAGAGAAUUUUGUCAUCUGCAUAUUGGAGAUAUGAGAGUCCAUCUUCAAUCAGAUGUGAAAUUACUCCUUUAAAUUGCCCUGCCACUAUUGCCCUUUCUAUCAAAGUAGCAAGCAUGUCAUCUACAAUGUUAAAGAGGAGAAGAGGGAGAGGGUCACCUUGGCGGACUCCUUUCUUGGUCUAGAAGAAAGGUCCAAUAGCAUCGUUUACUUUAAUGGCCGCACUGCCCCUAGAAAUGAUCUUUUCAAUCCAAGAGCAGCACUUGGGGGAGAGCCCUUUCAUCUGAAGGGAUUGCAAAAGGAAUGACUAUUUGACCUUGUCAUAUGCCUUUUCAAAGUCAAUCUUCAAAAUGACCCCAUUCAGCUUUUUGCGGUAGAGUUCAUGGAUUGUUUCAUGCAAGAUUACAACCCCUUCAAGAGUGUUUCUCCCUUGGAUGAAAGUUGUUUGGGUUGGAUGAAUUAUCUUAUCCACCACUGCAUUCAUUGAUUUAGUUAUAGCCUUUGUUAUGAUUUUGAAACUAACAUUCAACAAGCAUAUGGGACGAUACUGCUAAAUUCGGUUUGCUUCUUUGGAUUUUGGCAGGAGGGUGAUCCUUCCAAAGUUGAGGUUGUGGAUUUGCAGGUGAUCCGAAUGUAAAUCGUGGAACAUUGUCAUAAGGUCAACCUUAAUGAUUUCCCAAAAGGUUUUGUUAGGAAGUUAUUUUUGGUUUCAAACACCCGGGAGAUGCCAUCACUUGGUGAUUCAAUCAUCGUGAAGCUGAAGAUGCGUUGCUUCCUGUCACGUCCAUUUGCCCACAUAUGAAAGAAUUUCGAUUUGCUGGGUUUUUGGAGCCUGGAGCCUAGGUUUGCUGAUCUCAUACACACAGAGGAUAGCUGAAAGAUACCUCCAAGGAGUCCGACAGGAUGCAGAGAAUAACUAAACUCUCUCUAACAAAGGCAAUCAAUAUAAUCAAGAACAAUUCUCAAGCAGAAGAGAAAUGAACAGUGCUUCAAGGUGAUUUGAUUUUUCUGUAGGUUUAAUUCAUGGCCACUAUUAACGAUUAGUGAACCGUUGAUCUUACAAAUUUGUAUAAUAGAUGGGGAUGUCUUGAGUAGACAAAUCAAAGGAACACACAGAUGGGGUUUUAGACAGGUUUAGACCUCCUUUAAGAU